RNAcentral lists this ribosomal RNA (253 nucleotides) under uncultured bacterium. Its description in RNAcentral is "partial 16S ribosomal RNA". It matches the Rfam family "Bacterial small subunit ribosomal RNA", at positions 524 to 776 of the family's 1533-position model. The record is from RNAcentral.
UACGUAGGGUGCGAGCGUUGUCCGGAAUUAUUGGGCGUAAAGAGCUCGUAGGCGGUUUGUCGCGUCGGGAGUGAAAUCCACUGGCUUAACUGGUGGCUUGCUUUCGAUACGGGCAGACUGGAGGUAUGCAGGGGAGAACGGAAUUCCUGGUGUAGCGGUGAAAUGCGCAGAUAUCAGGAGGAACACCGGUGGCGAAGGCGGUUCUCUGGGCAUGUCCUGACGCUGAGGAGCGAAAGUGUGGGGAGCGAACAGG